UGGGGAAUAUUGCACAAUGGGCGCAAGCCUGAUGCAGCCAUGCCGCGUGUAUGAAGAAGGCCUUCGGGUUGUAAAGUACUUUCAGCGGGGAGGAAGGGAGUAAAGUUAAUACCUUUGCUCAUUGACGUUACCCGCAGAAGAAGCACCGGCUAACUCCGUGCCAGCAGCCGCGGUAAUACGGAGGGUGCAAGCGUUAAUCGGAAUUACUGGGCGUAAAGCGCACGCAGGCGGUUUGUUAAGUCCGAUGUGAAAUCCCCGGGCUCAACCUGGGAACUGCAUCUGAUACUGGCAAGCUUGAGUCUCGUAGAGGGGGGUAGAAUUCCAGGUGUAGCGGUGAAAUGCGUAGAGAUCUGGAGGAAUACCGGUGGCGAAGGCGGCCCCCUGGACGAAGACUGACGCUCAGGUGCGAAGGCGUGGGGAGCAAACAGG
RNAcentral lists this ribosomal RNA (429 nucleotides) under Chloroflexota bacterium. Its description in RNAcentral is "Chloroflexi bacterium partial 16S ribosomal RNA". It matches the Rfam family "Bacterial small subunit ribosomal RNA", at positions 355 to 776 of the family's 1533-position model. Lineage: Bacteria; Bacillati; Chloroflexota. The record is from RNAcentral.